CCUGGUGAACGGCGUGCCGGUCCGCGACUGCUGGCUGCAACCCGGCGACCAGGUCGCGUUCGAUGCGCGGCACCGGUUC
RNAcentral lists this transfer RNA (79 nucleotides) under Xanthomonas boreopolis. RNAcentral's name for it is "[Pseudomonas] boreopolis tRNA-Cys". The record is from RNAcentral. Lineage: Bacteria; Pseudomonadati; Pseudomonadota; Gammaproteobacteria; Lysobacterales; Lysobacteraceae.